UACGGGGGGGGCAAGCGUUGUUCGGAAUUACUGGGCGUAAAGGGCUCGUAGGCGGCCAACUAAGUCAGACGUGAAAUCCCUCGGCUUAACCGGGGAACUGCAUCUGAUACUGGAUGGCUUGAGAUUGGGAGAGGGAUGCGGAAUUCCAGGUGUAGCGGUGAAAUGCGUAGAUAUCUGGAGGAACACCGGUGGCGAAGGCGGUUGCCUGGAGCUUUGCUGACGCUGAUGCGCGAAAGCGUGGGGAGCGAUCCGG
Molecule: ribosomal RNA, 253 nt
Filed under: uncultured bacterium
Lineage: Bacteria
Description: partial 16S ribosomal RNA
Rfam family: Bacterial small subunit ribosomal RNA
Source: RNAcentral